UGGGGAAUAUUGGACAAUGGGCGCAAGCCUGAUCCAGCCAUGCCGCGUGAGUGACGAAGGCCUUAGGGUUGUAAAGCUCUUUUGGCGGGGACGAUAAUGACGGUACCCGCAGAAUAAGCCCCGGCUAACUUCGUGCCAGCAGCCGCGGUAAUACGAAGGGGGCUAGCGUUGUUCGGAAUCACUGGGCGUAAAGCGCACGUAGGCGGAUGUGCCAGUCAGGGGUGAAAUCCCGGAGCUCAACUCCGGAACUGCCUCUGAUACUGCACGUCUUGAGUUCGAGAGAGGUGGGUGGAAUUCCUAGUGUAGAGGUGAAAUUCGUAGAUAUUAGGAAGAACACCGGUGGCGAAGGCGGCCCACUGGCUCGAUACUGACGCUGAGGUGCGAAAGCGUGGGGAGCAAACAGGAUUAGAUACCCCUGUAGUCCCUGAGCGGGCUGGCAAGGCGCAU
RNAcentral lists this ribosomal RNA (447 nucleotides) under uncultured bacterium. Its description in RNAcentral is "bacterial SSU rRNA". It matches the Rfam family "Bacterial small subunit ribosomal RNA", at positions 355 to 825 of the family's 1533-position model. The record is from RNAcentral.